This 1205-nucleotide long non-coding RNA is filed under the name Apteryx haastii (Great spotted kiwi). RNAcentral describes it as "lncRNA (ENSAHAG00000008390.1)". The record is from RNAcentral. Lineage: Eukaryota; Metazoa; Chordata; Aves; Apterygiformes; Apterygidae.
UUAUUCCCUGGAGUUUUUAACAYUGAGUAYGUUAGKGAYUGGGAUUUUCUCAUGCURUAARUCRCUUUGGAGCAUCAAAAAGGAUGAAAAGGCCAGUGUUCUUUUAGCUUUGCACACUGCAGGUCUAUCAACUUUCACUUCCACGUACUUUGCAUUUUUCUUAAAAAUUUUUUCUUAGGACUGCUCAGGACACACAUUCCUAAAAGCCUUUCUUGCUUGAGACACAUUUUAUUUUAUGUUAUUUUAUGUUAUCUUAUUCUUUCCUUUCCUGUUAUUCCAUUCUAUUCUGUYUUUCCAUGUCCUAUCCUAGCCUAUCCUAUCCCUUCCUGCUCUAUCCUAUCCCAUCUUCUCCUAAUAUAUCCUACCCUUUCCUAUCCUGUCCUAUCCCAUCCUAAUCCUUUCCUAAUCCAUCCCAAUCCAUUUCAUUGUAUUCUAUCCCAUUCUACUCUGUUCCAUUCCUUUCCAUUGCAUCACAUUCCAUCCUAUUCCAUUCCAGUCCAUUCCAUCGAUUUUAUUCUAUUCCAUUCUGUCCCACUCCGUUCCAUUCCAUCUUCUUGUAUUGCAUUCCAUUCCAUCCACAUUCAUUUAAGUCUAGUCUAGUCAAGGCUGUUUGGGUCCUUUCAUCCCCUCUUCCUCCCCUACCCCUUCCCACUUCCCCUUCCCAUUUUUCUUCCUCUCCUUCCCAUUCCAUUCCAUUCUCUUCCAUUUCAUUCUGUUCUGUUCCAUUCCAUUCUAUUCUUUUCCAUUCCAUUCUAUUUAUUCCAGUUAUUCCAUUCCAUUUACUCCUUUCUUUUCCUUUCCUUUCCCUUCUGUUCCUUCUUUCCAUUUUAUUUAAUUCUAUUAUGUCCUUCCCUGUCCUAUCCCACCCUAUCCCAAUCCAUCCCAUCCUAAUAUAUCCUAUCCUAUCCUUUCCCAUCCUCUCCUCUCCUCUCCUAUCCUAUUUAUUCCCUUCCCUUCCAUUUGAUUCAUUUCCCUCCCAUUCCCCUCCUUUCCAUUCUGUUUCAUUCCGUUCCUUUCCAUUGAAUUCCAUUCCAAUUCAUUCCAGUUCAUUCUAUUUUGUUCUGUUCUGUUCUGUUCUGUUUCAUUCCAUUCCAUGUCAUUCCGUUCCAUUCCAAUUCAUUCUAUUUUGUUCUGUUCCAUUCCAUUCCAUUGCAGUCCACUGCAUUUAUUCCAUUGCAUUCUGUUCAAUUGCACUGCAUUCCAUA